CGUUUGGAAAGAUAUAAACCUAACAUGUCUUCAAGAGUGCCCCAGCAGCACAAACCACGCUGCUUUGCCUCCUGGUAUGAUCCUUCAAGACUUCUUGGCUAGACCCUUCAACAAAGACCCGCCAACUGAACCCUCCUCUGAUAGGGGCACAGAUUUCCUAAAUUCUUUAGCGACACGACCUGCCACUAUGUUAAGUUUGAAUUCUGGGUCUGAUUUUGAAAUUCUUGAAAGUGGUACUGUACCCAGAAGGCCAAACCCUCAGUUGCAUAGUCAUGCG
Molecule: unclassified non-coding RNA, 277 nt
Filed under: Hevea brasiliensis (rubber tree)
Lineage: Eukaryota; Viridiplantae; Streptophyta; Magnoliopsida; Malpighiales; Euphorbiaceae
Source: RNAcentral